UCGGGAAUUUUGGGCAAUGGGCGAAAGCCUGACCCAGCAACGCCGCGUGAAGGAUGAAGUAUUUCGGUAUGUAAACUUCGAAAGAAUAGGAAGAAUAAAUGACGGUACUAUUUAUAAGGUCCGGCUAACUACGUGCCAGCAGCCGCGGUAAUACGUAGGGACCAAGCGUUGUUCGGAUUUACUGGGCGUAAAGGGCGCGUAGGCGGCAUGACAAGUCACUUGUGAAAUCUCUGGGCUUAACCCAGAACGGCCAAGUGAUACUGUCGCGCUAGAGUGCAGAAGGGGCAAUCGGAAUUCUUGGUGUAGCGGUGAAAUGCGUAGAUAUCAAGAGGAACACCUGAGGUGAAGACGGGUUGCCGGGCUGACACUGACGCUGAGGCGCGAAAGCCAGGGGAGCAAACGGGAUUAGAUACCCACGUAGUCCCUGAGCGGGCUGGCAAGGCGCAU
This 447-nucleotide ribosomal RNA is filed under the name uncultured bacterium. RNAcentral's name for it is "bacterial SSU rRNA". It matches the Rfam family "Bacterial small subunit ribosomal RNA", at positions 355 to 825 of the family's 1533-position model. The record is from RNAcentral.